GGGACAAAAGUAAGUUCAAUGUUAAAUCUAAACCACUAUCGUGUAAGGAAAAUAUAUUAAGAUUAUUGUGCCAUUCCACUGAUCCAUUAUCGUUUUAAAGAGAAUAUUCUCUUUUCUUCUCUAGAAAAAAUAUAGUAAACAAUUUAUUUCUCUUCCUUUGACAACUUACAAUUAGUUUAAUUAUUCGCGAUUUUGUUAUUCUUGUACGUGUCUAUUGGAUGGAAAACUAGAUAUAAACCUUCUCGUAGUACAAUUAGAUAGGUUCAUGUAAAAUGGAAAUUAAUAGGUUCUUGUCUAUGUUAUUGUGCAUUGUAGGUUCUUGUAUGUGCUAGCGUCUGCAACCUUCAGCACUUGGCCGCAUGGUGCAGCACUAGUUCGUGAACAACCAGAACCAUAAGCGUGUAUUCAACCAGACCUGCCAACAGUUUGCAGCGAAAGGCAAAUAAGCUCUUGGAGCUCUUUGGAAACCAUUCAUAAAGAAAGAAAUAUAUAACUGGAAAGCAAAAAUGAAAAUCUUCGAUGUAACAGUAGCCGCCAUAUUUACACAUACAUCUAGUAUAUAAAGAUUUAUCGUUGGAUACACAACUAACAUAGAAACAACGAUAUUCCAUACUCCACUUGCUGUGAUUCGAAACAGAGAGAACAAAUGUGGGAAUCAUAUAGAGGGCGUUGCGGUAGAGAAUUAAAUUACUGAAAAUAGAGGGCACUAGGUUUCGAGGAGAGGUUGCGAUGGACUAGGACCAACUGGACGAUGUAGAAAAACGAGAAAACUGGUAAGAAACUAGUAUACACAAAUUAAAAAUAUACUCAGUAAAACCGACCAGGAAGAGUUAUGCAAAUAAGAAAGAACCUACCAAGCAUUCUAGGGAAGGUCAGAGAGAGAAGCUUAUUUUAAAGGACAAUCGUGGAAUUUUAAACGUCAGCUAUGAUACGAAGGACAAAAGAAACAAGGACCUACAGUCAUACAAACAUGAAGACUAUAUCUAGUUACAACUGCCAACACACAUGAUAAGGAACAUAGCGCAGCUUAGACUAGUUCGGAGGGAAGAAAUCCAACAGAUCAAUUUUUACUAUUUUGCAAAGAUGUCUUCAGAUUAUUGUAAUGUAAAUAAAUGCAAUG
Molecule: long non-coding RNA, 1120 nt
Organism: Bombus impatiens (common eastern bumble bee)
Lineage: Eukaryota; Metazoa; Arthropoda; Insecta; Hymenoptera; Apidae
Exons: 2
Source: RefSeq, a predicted model, not a curated record